AUACAGAGGGUGCAAGCGUUAAUCGGAAUUACUGGGCGUAAAGCGCGCGUAGGCGGUUUAAUCAGUCGGAUGUGAAAGCCCCGGGCUCAACCUGGGAACUGCAUUCGAUACUGUUAAGCUAGAGUAUGGUAGAGGGAAGUGGAAUUCCAGGUGUAGCGGUGAAAUGCGUAGAUACCUGGAGGAACAUCAGUGGCGAAGGCGACUUCCUGGACCAAUACUGACGCUGAGGUGCGAAAGCGUGGGGAGCAAACAGGAUUAGAAACCCUGUAGUCC
Molecule: ribosomal RNA, 273 nt
Filed under: uncultured bacterium
Lineage: Bacteria
Description: partial 16S ribosomal RNA
Rfam family: Bacterial small subunit ribosomal RNA
Source: RNAcentral